GAUGAACGCUGGCGGCGUGCCUAAUACAUGCAAGUCGAGCGAACAGACGAGGAGCUUGCUCCUCUGACGUUAGCGGCGGACGGGUGAGUAACACGUGGAUAACCUCCCUAUAAGACUGGGAUAACUUCGGGAAACCGGAGCUAAUACCGGAUAAUAUAUUGAACCGCAUGGUUCAAUAGUGAAAGACGGUUUUGCUGUCACUUCUAGAUGGAUCCGCGCCGCAUUAGCUAGUUGGUAAGGUAACGGCUUACCAAGGCAACGAUGCGUAGCCGACCUGAGAGGGUGGUCGGCCACACUGGAACUGAGACACGGUCCAGACUCCUACGGGAGGCAGCAGUAGGGAAUCUUCCGCAAUGGGCGAAAGCCUGACGGAGCAACGCCGCGUGAGUGAUGAAGGUCUUCGGAUCGUAAAACUCUGUUAUUAGGGAAGAACAAAUGUGUAAGUAACUAUGCACGUCUUGACGGUACCUAAUCAGAAAGCCACGGCUAACUACGUG
RNAcentral lists this ribosomal RNA (497 nucleotides) under uncultured bacterium. RNAcentral describes it as "partial 16S ribosomal RNA". It matches the Rfam family "Bacterial small subunit ribosomal RNA", at positions 28 to 507 of the family's 1533-position model. The record is from RNAcentral.